ACGGGCCGCCAACCCCGGGGCGGAGCGCCCGCCCCUGAGGGCAGGGCGGAGGCGGGCCCGGCCCGGAGCGGGGUUUGACGGGCCGUGGCGAGGGAAGGAGUGGAUGGAUACGGUCAGCCUGGCGACCCCUGGCUCUGCUGGACCUGCCCUGGACUCGGAAUUGCCCGUGUUUUAAGCGGAGCCGCGGGAGUGACCUGGCAGCUCCAUCCGACAUCUUUUUCAGGAGAAGACUUCUUAUCUGUGAGGUUUCUGGUCAACUUUCAGCUGAGAAAAAGGCAGUUUACUCAACUACUCAAAGGUAGUUGUUGGCAUUUGCUGUCAGAUUUCACUGUCAGAUAGUCUGGCAACAGCUUUGUCAUCCAGAUGUUUCUGUCCCUGCCAUUCCUUGCUCAGCCAAAUCUGAGGAAGAAAAAGACAUCUUUGUUCCUUGUCUACCUCUCAUGAAAGAAAUUUCAGCCAUCUUCUGGUCUAAUUCCUGCUCUUCCCCCAGCCUGGAAACAUGUACCACAGCAUCAGAUACCCUCUCCUGAUCUUCCAAAUCCACGACAUCAUACAGACCAAGUCCUCCUCUGCUCCCCUCUGGGGCUCCCUUGAUCAUCCAGCAUCUGCUCUUCCUGUUACCCUAACACAGCCCCUCAGUAAAGAAUUCUUCUCCUCUACAGUUUUCUCACCCAAGCCUCUCUUUGCUCUCCUACUCCCUUCCAGAUCAAAGUAAUUUCUUUCCCUCUGCUUUGCUCAUUGCUCUUCAUCUCUCUUUUUAGAUGCUUGUUCAAUUUGCCAUGGUAAAAUACUUUGAUCAUAUGAUUAAAAGGGAUUGAGCGAA
This is a long non-coding RNA of Pipra filicauda (Wire-tailed manakin), 823 nucleotides long. RefSeq lists it as uncharacterized. The record is from RefSeq and is a predicted model, not a curated record. The transcript has 3 exons. NCBI's taxonomy places the organism in Eukaryota, Metazoa, Chordata, Aves, Passeriformes, Pipridae.